Long non-coding RNA from Papaver somniferum (opium poppy), 506 nucleotides. RefSeq lists it as uncharacterized. The transcript has 2 exons. The record is from RefSeq and is a predicted model, not a curated record. Lineage: Eukaryota; Viridiplantae; Streptophyta; Magnoliopsida; Ranunculales; Papaveraceae.
GUAUUUCUACCGCAACUUCUUUUGUAUCCCAACCCAUCGGACCCAUUGAAUGGAGAGGCUGCGGCUCUAAUGAUGCGUGAUAAAGCUGCUUAUGAGCAAAGGGUUAAAGAAUACUGUGAAAAAUAUGCGAAACCUGAAGACGUUGGGAAUAACACGGAUGAGAAAUCAAGUGAUGAGGAAGAUGAGGCAAGUGACAAUGAUUAUGACUCCAGCGACGAGGGAAUGGCGGGUCAUGCAGAUCCUUAAUUUGCAUUAUUUAUGCAAUAAUUUACAUUUAGCCUUGUUUUUAUGCAUCUGUACAUGUCAAUGAUAUUUGUACUUUUCAGCAAAAAUCAAAAUCCAACUCCAAAAAAGAGUUGCAGUAGGAGGACCCUUCUGUGGUGUAAUAUUCCCGUGGGACUCCUACUCUUAUCUUAUCUUAUCUUAUCUUCCUUUUUCCUUUUCUUACCCUUUCGGUGACAAUGUAAAUAAAUAACUUAAUAAUUAUGAGUUUCAUGUUUAAGAUA